AUUUUCAGUGAUCCUUGUCGCCCAUGAAUUUUACGAACCAGUUUACGACGUUCCUGCUGAGCUCCAUGAUACAGCAUUAGCGGAAUCUCUGGAGUAAAUCGCUUGAAUUCAGACAUCCAAUUUGGAAGAGUAGACAAAGGACCACAUACUAAAAAGGGACCAGGGACUCCUCGCUCCACCAUGAGUGCUAUUGUUGCAAUACACUGGAUUGUCUUUCCCAACCCCAUCUCAUCAGCUAAAAUGCCAUUGAUACCAUUUUCCCAAAGCAUCCUUAGCCAUUCCAUGCCUUCCACUUGGUACCACCUCAUUACACCUCCAGUAAAAAUCUUUGGCUGCUGAAAAGGCACUGGUUGUCCAUUAAAUUUCCGCACUGGAUCGAGGAACUGCUUGGCACUGUGUCGUACAGCUUGACACAAUCUAUCUUUAAUGACACUAUUUGAGUCCCCAUUUUUCUGCAGGUCUUCUGGACACAGGUUGCCAGCAGAGCUUUCAUCCUGAUUUUCCACUUUACUCUUUUUUGCCACUGAUAAGAUUUCCUCUUUAGACAUAAUUUCUGAAAUGUUGUACGUUCCGUCAUCUCUCCCUCUCUUCUUUUUUGUAGCCGAUUUCUCUUCUUUUCCAUCAGCUGGAUUUUGACCCUUGGCAGAUUUUAACAUCAUCUCCCUCUUUUUUUCUAACUUCUCUUUCCUUUUCUGUUCCUCCAGUUGCUGCUGCUCCAUUUUAGUUAGCAAGAACUUGGAAUAAAUGUUGCUUUUUUCAAGCAGGUGUUGAAGCCUCUUAUAGCGCAUUUCACUUGACUCCCUGUCCCAAGCACUGCGAGCCUUCUCCAUCAUCUGCCGCUCCUUCUCCAGCCCCGCCGCCUCUAGCUGCUCCUCCUCGGCCAGCAUGGCCGGCGUGAUCACCACCUCCUGCUCCCCCAUCUCGGCUCCCGGCGGCUCGCCUUCCCACGCGCAGCCAACGCCGAGCUCCCGCGCGGGUCGCCCGCCGCCACG
RNAcentral lists this long non-coding RNA (992 nucleotides) under Gallus gallus (chicken). Lineage: Eukaryota; Metazoa; Chordata; Aves; Galliformes; Phasianidae. The record is from RNAcentral.